RNAcentral lists this ribosomal RNA (455 nucleotides) under uncultured bacterium. RNAcentral describes it as "SSU rRNA". It matches the Rfam family "Bacterial small subunit ribosomal RNA", at positions 26 to 518 of the family's 1533-position model. The record is from RNAcentral.
AGAACGAACGCUGGCGGCAUGCCUAACACAUGCAAGUCGAACGCUUUUGGGGCUUCGGUCCCAAAGGAGUGGCGCACGGGUGAGUAGCGCGUGGGAACCUGCCCUGGAGUGGGGGAUAACCGAGGGAAACUUCGGCUAAUACCGCAUACGCCGGGAAACCGGGAAAGAUUUAUCGCUCUAGGAGGGGCCCGCGUCGGAUUAGGUAGUUGGUGGGGUAACGGCCUACCAAGCCUUUGAUCCGUAGCUGGUCUGAGAGGAUGAUCAGCCACACUGGGACUGAGACACGGCCCAGACUCCUACGGGAGGCAGCAGUGGGGAAUAUUGGACAAUGGGCGCAAGCCUGAUCCAGCCAUGCCGCGUGAGUGAUGAAGGCCCUAGGGUUGUAAAGCCCUUUCGGCGGGGAAGAUAAUGACGGUACCGCAGAAGAGCCCGGCUAACUUCGUGCCAGCAGCCGC